UCCGUAGGCGGGCUAAUAAGUCAGGGGUGAAGUCCAACAGCUUAACUGUUGAACUGCCUUUGAUACUGUUAGUCUUGAAUUAUAUGGAAGUAGAUAGAAUGUGUAGUGUAGCGGUGAAAUGCUUAGAGAUUACACAGAAUACCGAUUGCGAAGGCAGUCUACUACGUAUAUAUUGACGCUAAUGGACGAAAGCGUGGGGAGCGAACAGGAUUAGAUACCCUGGUAGUCC
Molecule: ribosomal RNA, 229 nt
Filed under: uncultured bacterium
Lineage: Bacteria
Description: partial 16S ribosomal RNA
Rfam family: Bacterial small subunit ribosomal RNA
Source: RNAcentral